GGGGGAUAACACUUGGAAACAGGUGCUAAUACCGCAUAACCAUAGUUACCGCAUGGUAACUAUGUAAAAGGUGGCUAUGCUACCGCUUUUGGAUGGGCCCGCGGCGCAUUAGCUAGUUGGUGGGGUAAAGGCUUACCAAGGCAAUGAUGCGUAGCCGAACUGAGAGGUUGAUCGGCCACAUUGGGACUGAGACACGGCCCAAACUCCUACGGGAGGCAGCAGUAGGGAAUCUUCCACAAUGGGCGAAAGCCUGAUGGAGCAACGCCGCGUGGGUGAAGAAGGUCUUCGGAUCGUAAAACCCUGUUGUUAGAGAAGAAAGUGCGUGAGAGUAACUGUUCACGUUUCGACGGUAUCUAACCAGAAAGCCACGGCUAACUACGUGCCAGCAGCCGCGGUAAUACGUAGGUGGCAAGCGUUAUCCGGAUUUAUUGGGCGUAAAGGGAACGCAGGCGGUCUUUUAAGUCUGAUGUGAAAGCCUUCGGCUUAACCGGAGUAGUGCAUUGGAAACUGGGAGACUUGAGUGCAGAAGAGGAGAGUGGAACUCCAUGUGUAGCGGUGAAAUGCGUAGAUAUAUGGAAGAACACCAGUGGCGAAAGCGGCUCUCUGGUCUGUAACUGACGCUGAGGUUCGAAAGCGUGGGUAGCAAACAGGAUUAGAUACCCUGGUAGUCCACGCCGUAAAC
RNAcentral lists this ribosomal RNA (682 nucleotides) under uncultured bacterium. RNAcentral describes it as "bacterial SSU rRNA". It matches the Rfam family "Bacterial small subunit ribosomal RNA", at positions 138 to 807 of the family's 1533-position model. The record is from RNAcentral.